UAGAGAGCUUGCUUUUUAAGCUUAGUGGCGAACGGGUGAGUAACGCGUGAGUAACCUGCCCUAGAGUGGGGGACAACAGUUGGAAACGACUGCUAAUACCGCAUAAGCCCACGGUACCGCAUGGUACUGAGGGAAAAGGAUUUAUUCGCUUUAGGAUGGACUCGCGUCCAAUUAGCUAGUUGGUGAGGUAACGGCCCACCAAGGCGACGAUUGGUAGCCGGACUGAGAGGUUGAACGGCCACAUUGGGACUGAGACACGGCCCAGACUCCUACGGGAGGCAGCAGUGGGGGAUAUUGCACAAUGGGGGAAACCCUGAUGCAGCGACGCCGCGUGGAGGAAGAAGGUUUUCGGAUUGUAAACUCCUGUCGUUAGGGACGAUAAUGACGGUACCUAACAAGAAAGCACCGGCUAACUACGUGCCAGCAGCCGCGGUAAAACGUAGGGUGCAAGCGUUGUCCGGAAUUACUGGGUGUAAAGGGAGCGCAGGCGGGAAGACAAGUUGGAAGUGAAAACCAUGGGCUCAACCCAUGAAUUGCUUUCAAAACUGUUUUUCUUGAGUAGUGCAGAGGUAGAUGGAAUUCCCGGUGUAGCGGUGGAAUGCGUAGAUAUCGGGAGGAACACCAGUGGCGAAGGCGGUCUACUGGGCACCAACUGACGCUGAGGCUC
This 667-nucleotide ribosomal RNA is filed under the name uncultured Lachnospiraceae bacterium. RNAcentral describes it as "bacterial SSU rRNA". It matches the Rfam family "Bacterial small subunit ribosomal RNA", at positions 72 to 754 of the family's 1533-position model. The record is from RNAcentral. Lineage: Bacteria; Bacillati; Bacillota; Clostridia; Lachnospirales; Lachnospiraceae.